AGACCCGAAACCCGGUGAUCUAGCCAUGGGCAGGUUGAAGGUUGGGUAACACUAACUGGAGGACCGAACCGACUAAUGUUGAAAAAUUAGCGGAUGACCUGUGGCUGGGGGUGAAAGGCCAAUCAAACCGGGAGAUAGCUGGUUCUCCCCGAAAGCUAUUUAGGUAGCGCCUCGUGAAUUCAUCUCCGGGGGUAGAGCACUGUUUCGGCUAGGGGGCCAUCCCGGCUUACCAACCCGAUGCAAACUGCGAAUACCGGAGAAUGUUAUCACGGGAGACACACGGCGGGUGCUAACGUCCGUCGUGAAGAGGGAAACAACCCAGACCGCCAGCUAAGGUCCCAAAGUCAUGGUUAAGUGGGAAACGAUGUGGGAAGGCCCAGACAGCCAGGAUGUUGGCUUAGAAGCAGCCAUCAUUUAAAGAAAGCGUAAUAGCUCACUGGUCGAGUCGGCCUGCGCGGAAGAUGUAACGGGGCUAAACCAUGCACCGAAGCUGCGGCAGCGACGCUGAUGCGUUGUUGGGUAGGGGAGCGUUCUGUAAGCCUGCGAAGGUGUGUCGUGAGGCAUGCUGGAGGUAUCAGAAGUGCGAAUGCUGACAUAAGUAACGAUAAAGCGGGUGAAAAGCCCGCUCGCCGGAAGACCAAGGGUUCCUGUCCAACGUUAAUCGGGGCAGGGUGAGUCGACCCCUAAGGCGAGGCCGAAAGGCGUAGUCGAUGGGAAACGGGUUAAUAUUCCCGUACUUGGUGUUACUGCGAAGGGGGGACGGAGAAGGCUAUGUUGGCCGGGCGACGGUUGUCCCGGUUUAAGCGUGUAGGUGUGUGUUCCAGGUAAAUCCGGUUCACUUUAACACUGAGGCGUGAUGACGAGGCACUACGGUGCUGAAGCAACAAAUGCCCUGCUUCCAGGAAAAGCCUCUAAGCAUCAGGUAACAUCAAAUCGUACCCCAAACCGACACAGGUGGUCAGGUAGAGAAUACCAAGGCGCUUGAGAGAACUCGGGUGAAGGAACUAGGCAAAAUGGUGCCGUAACUUCGGGAGAAGGCACGCUGACACGUAGGUGAAGUGAUUUACUCAUGGAGCUGAAGUCAGUCGAAGAUACCAGCUGGCUGCAACUGUUUAUUAAAAACACAGCACUGUGCAAACACGAAAGUGGACGUAUACGGUGUGACGCCUGCCCGGUGCCGGAAGGUUAAUUGAUGGGGUCAGCGCAAGCGAAGCUCCUGAUCGAAGCCCCGGUAAACGGCGGCCGUAACUAUAACGGUCCUAAGGUAGCGAAAUUCCUUGUCGGGUAAGUUCCGACCUGCACGAAUGGCGUAAUGAUGGCCAGGCUGUCUCCACCCGAGACUCAGUGAAAUUGAACUCGCUGUGAAGAUGCAGUGUACCCGCGGCAAGACGGAAAGACCCCGUGAACCUUUACUAUAGCUUGACACUGAACAUUGAGCCUUGAUGUGUAGGAUAGGUGGGAGGCUUUGAAGUGUGGACGCCAGUCUGCAUGGAGCCGGCCUUGAAAUACCACCCUUUAAUGUUUGAUGUUCUAACGUGGACCCGUGAUCCGGGUUGCGGACAGUGUCUGGUGGGUAGUUUGACUGGGGCGGUCUCCUCCUAAAGAGUAACGGAGGAGCACGAAGGUUGGCUAAUCCUGGUCGGACAUCAGGAGGUUAGUGCAAUGGCAUAAGCCAGCUUGACUGCGAGCGUGACGGCGCGAGCAGGUGCGAAAGCAGGUCAUAGUGAUCCGGUGGUUCUGAAUGGAAGGGCCAUCGCUCAACGGAUAAAAGGUACUCCGGGGAUAACAGGCUGAUACCGCCCAAGAGUUCAUAUCGACGGCGGUGUUUGGCACCUCGAUGUCGGCUCAUCACAUCCUGGGGCUGAAGUAGGUCCCAAGGGUAUGGCUGUUCGCCAUUUAAAGUGGUACGCGAGCUGGGUUUAGAACGUCGUGAGACAGUUCGGUC
RNAcentral lists this ribosomal RNA (1945 nucleotides) under Salmonella enterica subsp. enterica. Its description in RNAcentral is "partial 23S ribosomal RNA". It matches the Rfam family "Bacterial large subunit ribosomal RNA", at positions 711 to 2636 of the family's 2925-position model. Lineage: Bacteria; Pseudomonadati; Pseudomonadota; Gammaproteobacteria; Enterobacterales; Enterobacteriaceae. The record is from RNAcentral.